Callithrix jacchus (white-tufted-ear marmoset) is the source of this 2429-nucleotide non-coding RNA. NCBI's taxonomy places the organism in Eukaryota, Metazoa, Chordata, Mammalia, Primates, Cebidae. The record is from RefSeq and is a predicted model, not a curated record.
AUAACCCACAGCAAUAGUGAUGUGACGGCUGCCUCAUCUGGGAAGAGAGAUCAACUGCAGCCACCUCAAAGAGGUAAAACAUAGAUGUAUAAUAGGAGUGAGUGAGGAGAAGAAUGUAUAACUGGUAUCAUAAGAGGAUGUACAAAGGUUUGUAAGAAACCAAGGACAAGAGCAGAAAACAGUAGGUCACGCUAUAAGGAACCAAGUCUUCUCUUCCUUGCAGAUGGUCUAUCUGCUUCUCUCUGAGCAUCAUCUCAGACGCUGACUGCUUUUUCCGGUUGUUCCCUCUCUAGGCCCAGAUGCUGUCUCAGAAUUUUUUAGAUCAGCUCCCAUGGGUUACUGGCAAUAUCCACCAUGGCCCCUCAGACUCCAACCACCACACCUAUGCAGGUGCUUGAGAAAACACACUCCUUGACCUAAGAAACCAAACUCUGUAGACAUUUAAGGGACUUAGCAAUUCAAAGGAGGGAAGCCAGAAUGGAGAGAUAGGCAAAUUUUACAAAAGCCAAAUUAAUGGAAGAAACAAUAAAAAAUGCAGUAGGAAUGUUUAAAGGGAUACACAUGGAGGAUAACUACAAAAACUGGAGGAGAAGGUGCCUAUGAGAAACAUGAAAUCUAGGGCUUAAGCUCCAAAAGGAAGUAAAAUGAAUGGCUGGUAUUAAAAACAAAGUAGAGCUUGAGUGGCCAAGGCAAGAUGGGUCAAAGACAGAGUGGUGGUCAUGGUCCUGGAGGUGGCAAGGAUGACAAGGACAAGAAAAAGAAAUAUGAACCUCCUGCACCAACUAGAGUGGAGAAAAAGAAGAAAACAAAGGGACCAGAUGCUGCCAGCAAAUUGCCACUGGUGACACCUCACACUCAGUGCUGGUUAAAAUUACUAAAGUUAGAGAGAAUUAAAGACUAUCUUCUCAUGGAGGAAAAAUUCAUUAGAAAUCAGGAACAAAUAAAACCAUUAGAAGAAAAACAAGAGGAGGAAAGAUCAAAAGUGGAUGAUCUGAGGGGCACCCCGAUGUCAGCAGGAACCUUGGGGAAGAGAUCAUCGAUGAGAACACUACAUUAGCAUUCUGUCAUUUGUAGACAAGGAUCUGCUGGAACCUGGCUGCUCAGUCCUGCUCAACCAUAAGGUGCAUGCCAUAAUAGGGGUGCUGAUGGAUAACAUGGAUCCCCUGGUCACAGUGAUGAAGGUGGAAAAGGCCCCCCAGGAGAUAUAUACUGAUAUUGGGGGCUUGGACAACCAAAUUCAGGAAAUUAAGGAAUCUGUGGAGCUUCCUCUCACACACCCUGAAUAUUAUGAAGAGAUGGGUAUAAAGCCUCCUAAGGGGGUCAUUCUCUAUGGUCCACCUGGCACAGGUAAAACCUUGUUAGUCAAAGCAGUAGCAAACCAAACCUCCGCCACUUUCUUGACAGUGGUUGGCUCUGAACUUAUUCAGAAGUACCUAGGUGAUAGGCCCAAACUCGUAUGGGAACUGUUUCGAGUUGCUGAAGAACAUGCACCAUCUAUCGUGUUUAUUGAUGAAAUUGACGCCAUUGGGACAAAAAGAUAUGACUCAAAUUCUGGUGGUGAGAAAUUCGGUGAACAAUGUUGGAACUGCUGAACCAGUUGGAUGAAUUUGAUUCUAGGGGAGAUGGGAAGGUUAUCAUGGCCACAAACUGAAUAGAAACUUUGGAUCCAGCCCUUAUCAGAUCAGGCCACAUUGACAGGAAGAUCAAGUUUCCCCUGCCUGAUGAAAAGACUAAGAAGCGCAUCUUUCAGAUUCACACAUGUAGGAUGAUGCUGGCCGAUGAUGUAACCCUGGACGACUUGAUCAUGGCUAAAGAUGACCUCUCUAGUGCUGACAUGAAGGCAAUCUGUACAGAAGCUGGUCUGAUGGCCUUAAGAGAACGUAGAAGGAAAGUAACAAAUGAAGACUUCAAAAAAUCUAAAGAAAAUGUUUUUUAUAAGAAACAGGAAGGCACCCCGAGGAGCUCUAUCUCUAGUGAACCACAGUUGCCAUCAGGAAAAUGGGAGAUUUCUCCAUCCCUGAAAGGGAUGAGGUUGGUGGAGUUGCCCAGAGCAAUCCCUGUUCCCAUUGGUUUUUAUUAGCAAAACAUCCUGUGUCUUUUGGAGUACGAUGUGUAAGUGCCCACUGGGUGGCCUUCGUCCGUCGGUCACUGUGCAGCAGUCUACUUCUCAACAAAGUGUGCUCUUUCACACACAAAAAAAACAAAGUAGUAAACUGAAAUAUGAAGCAGGAAACUAUCACAUCACAAGGCAAAAAUAAUGAAGAAAUACCCAUCAAUGGUGAAAAUAUAACAGACAUACAGGACAGAUUGAGGAGGCCUAAUAAGUAAAUAGCACUUCCAGAAAGAGAAAAGAACAGAAGCAAUAAUCAAACAGGAAAACUCUGAAGUGAUGAAAGAACUGAGUUUUCAGAUCAAAGGAGCUCACCAAA